AAAGAAACCAGGACGGUCUUUGUCUAUACAUUUGGGUAUUAUAAAUCAUAUAAAUAUGUGUUCAUUUAUGGAAACCCAUGAAACGAUACCCUUGCAUAUUCCGCAGUUUGAAAAUAUGACACAGAAUUUGCAUAUGGCUGGGAAUAACAUCUGCAGACUUUUUUGAUUGGUGGAUAAAUUCAAUAUAAUCUCACUAAUCUAUAAUAAUUGUUUCCUUUUUUGCCG
Molecule: long non-coding RNA, 225 nt
Filed under: Drosophila guanche
Lineage: Eukaryota; Metazoa; Arthropoda; Insecta; Diptera; Drosophilidae
Source: RNAcentral